RNAcentral lists this ribosomal RNA (546 nucleotides) under uncultured beta proteobacterium. RNAcentral's name for it is "partial 16S ribosomal RNA". Lineage: Bacteria; Pseudomonadati; Pseudomonadota; Betaproteobacteria. The record is from RNAcentral.
UCCAGGCGGGGAACUUCACGCGUUAGCUCCGGUACUAAAAGGUUUUACCCUCCCAACACCUAGUUGACAUCGUUUAGGGCGUGGACUACCAGGGUAUCUAAUCCUGUUUGCUACCCACGCUUUCGUGCAUGAGCGUCAGUAUCGGCCCAGGGGGCUGCCUUCGCCAUCGGUGUUCCUCCACAUCUCUACGCAUUUCACUGCUACACGUGGAAUUCCACCCCCCUCUGCCGUACUCUAGCUUAGCAGUCACAAGCGCAGUUCCCAGGUUGAGCCCGGGGAUUUCACGUCUGUCUUACUAAACCGCCUGCGCACGCUUUACGCCCAGUAAUUCCGAUUAACGCUCGCACCCUACGUAUUACCGCGGCUGCUGGCACGUAGUUAGCCGGUGCUUCUUAUUCCGGUACCGUCAUCCACACAGGGUAUUAGCCUAUGCGAUUUCUUCCCGGCCGAAAGAGCUUUACAACCCGAAGGCCUUCUUCACUCACGCGGAAUGGCUGGAUCAGGGUUGCCCCCAUUGUCCAAAAUUCCCCACUGCUGCCUCCCGUA